Molecule: non-coding RNA, 84 nt
Organism: Rhizopus microsporus
Lineage: Eukaryota; Fungi; Mucoromycota; Mucoromycetes; Mucorales; Rhizopodaceae
Source: Rfam
CCGGCCUUAGCUCAGUUGGUAGAGCGGAAGACUGUAGUGAAUGCUGUCAUCUUUAGGUCACUAGUUCGAAUCUGGUAGGCCGGA